RNAcentral lists this ribosomal RNA (253 nucleotides) under uncultured bacterium. RNAcentral describes it as "partial 16S ribosomal RNA". It matches the Rfam family "Bacterial small subunit ribosomal RNA", at positions 524 to 776 of the family's 1533-position model. The record is from RNAcentral.
UACAGAGGGGGCAAGCGUUGUUCGGAAUUACUGGGCGUAAAGGGCGCGUAGGCGGCCUUCUAAGUCGAACGUGAAAUCCCCGGGCUCAACCCGGGAACUGCGUCCGAAACUGGCAUGCUUGAAUCCGGGAGAGGGAUGUGGAAUUCCAGGUGUAGCGGUGAAAUGCGUAGAUAUCUGGAGGAACAUCGGUGGCGAAGGCGGCAUCCUGGACCGGUAUUGACGCUGAGGCGCGAAAGCCAGGGGAGCAAACGGG